RNAcentral lists this ribosomal RNA (253 nucleotides) under uncultured bacterium. RNAcentral describes it as "partial 16S ribosomal RNA". It matches the Rfam family "Bacterial small subunit ribosomal RNA", at positions 524 to 776 of the family's 1533-position model. The record is from RNAcentral.
UACGACGGGGGCUAGCGUUGCUCGGAAUCACUGGGCGUAAAGCGCACGUAGGCGGCUUCUUAAGUCAGGGGUGAAAUCCUGGAGCUCAACUCCAGAACUGCCUUUGAUACUGAGAAGCUUGAGUCCGGGAGAGGUGAGUGGAACUGCGAGUGUAGAGGUGAAAUUCGUAGAUAUUCGCAAGAACACCAGUGGCGAAGGCGGCUCACUGGACCGGCAUUGACGCUGAGGUGCGAAAGCGUGGGGAGCAAACAGG